GAUAAACGCUGGCGGCGUGCAUGAGACAUGCAAGUCGAACGAAGGAUCGGGCUUGCUCGAUCCUUAGUGGCGGACGGCUGAGUAACGCGUAGGUGACCUACCCCGAAGUGGGGAAUAACUGCCCGAAAGGGUGGCUAAUACCGCAUGUGGUCGCACGUUCAUUCGUGCGAGUAAAGCCGCAAGGCGCUUCGGGAGGGGCCUGCGUCCGAUUAGCUCGUUGGCGGGGUAAUGGCUUACCAAGGCGACGAUCGGUAGGUGGUCUGAGAGGACGAUCACCCAGACUGGGACUGAGACACGGCCCAGACUCCUACGGGAGGCAGCAGUCGGGAAUUUUGCUCAAUGGGGGAAACCCUGAAGCAGCAACGCCGCGUGAGGGAUGAAGGCCUUCGGGUUGUAAACCUCUUUUGUCAGGGACGAUGAUGACGGUACCUGGCGAAUAAGCCACGGCUAACUACGUG
This 458-nucleotide ribosomal RNA is filed under the name uncultured bacterium. Its description in RNAcentral is "partial 16S ribosomal RNA". It matches the Rfam family "Bacterial small subunit ribosomal RNA", at positions 28 to 507 of the family's 1533-position model. The record is from RNAcentral.